AAGUACCUGUGAGGUGUAUGGCCCAGAGACAUGCACUCACUGAAAGACUAAGGCCUAAUCGUAGAAAUAUAGACUGCUUCCCUCCCCCUAUACCUUACCACUGUACCACCAAAAGCCUAUUUAUCACCAUGUUUUUAUCUACUAUAUCAUGUCUGGCUCUCAAAAAAUUAAAAGACAUACUAAAAGGCCAAGAGAUAGUGCAAGCAUCAGAUCCAAAUUCAGAUGUCACAGGGAUGUUGGAAUUAUCAGAUUGAGAAUUGAAAACAACUAUUAUUAUGAUGAUAAGGGGCUAAAGGAAAAGUAGACAACAUAUAAGAAGAGAUAGAUAAUAUAAGCAGAAAUAUUAAACUUCUUAGAAAUAAACAAAAAUAAAUGCUAGAGAAAAAAAGAAAUGAAGAAUGUCCUUGGUGGGAUAAUUAGUAGAAUGGGCACAGGUAAGGGAAAGGAUCUCUGAGCUUUUAUAUAUGACUGUAACAGACACUUCCAAAACUGAAUAGUGAAAGAAAAAGACUAAGAAAAUGGAACAUGAUAUCCAAGAACUAUAGGACAUAUUUUUAAAAUGUAGCAUAAGACUAAUAGGAAUAAAAGAAGGAGAGUAGGCAUUCCCAUCAUGAUGCAGCAGAAACAAAUUCAACUAGGAACCAUGAGGUUGUGGGUUCAAUCCCUGGCCUUGCUCAGUGGGUUAAGGAUCCGGUGUUGCCAUGAGCUGUGGUGUAGGUUGCAGACACAGCUCAGAUCUGGUGUUGCUAUGGCUAUGGUGUAGGCCAGCAGCUGUAGCUCCAAUUAGACCCCAAGCCUGGGAACCUCCAUAUGCAGUGGGUGCAGCCCUGAAAAGACAAAAUAUAAAAAAAGAAGAUAUUUUUGAAACAAUAGUGAAGAAAAAUGAAGGAGAAUUAAUGUCACACUUUAAUUCAAUAGAUCCAGGAAGCUCAUCUAUUCCAAAGGGGGAUAUGCCAAAAAAUCUACACCUAAGUAUAGAAUAUUCAAAGUGUGGAAAAUCAAAGAUACAGAAAAAAUCUUGAAAGAAGCCAGAGGAAUAAUAUAUCUUACCUAUAUAGGAGAAAAAGAGAGAAUGAAUUACAUCUUAUUUCUCCUCAAAAAACAUGCAAGCAAGUGGAAUGAAAUAGUUAAAGUGCUUAGAGGAAAAAUAACACACAAACCAAAAAUUCUGUAUACUGCAACAUCUCACACAAAUAAAAAUUGAGAAACUCUGUUGCCAGUACACCUGUCUUGCAAGAAAUGUUGAAAGAUGCCCUUCAGAGAGAACAAAAAUUAUAUAUGUCAGAAACUCAGGUCUAUAUAAAGAAAGAGGACUGGAGAAGAAAUAAAAGAAAACUUUUUUUAUUCUUAAUUGAGAUAAUGGAUAAUAGUCUGUAUAAAAUAAUAGCAUUAAAAUCAAUUUUGUAUGCUCAUAUGUAUUAUAUACGUAUAUAUGUUUAUGUGUAAGUGAAAUGAAUGAUAGCAAUGAUAUAAAAAAUGGGAGGAUAGAAUUAAGAAUAUUUUAAUUGACAAAAGGGAGUAUAAUUGACAUGCCAAGAAAGAAAAGUAAAUAGAAUAUAAAAUUUUCAAUUAAGCCCCACAAAAGGCAAAAAAGAGUAAAUAUAGAAAGACAAAUAUAAGAGUAAAGAACAAAGGCAACAAAUAGAAAACAAUAGUAGAUAUGAUAAAUAUAAUGCUGAUAUAUCAAUAAUCAUAUUAAUAUUAUUGGUCUAAAUACAGCUAUUAAAAGACAAAGAUUGUGAGAAUGGGCCAAAAAGAAGACCCAGAUAUAUACACCAAACAACAGAUCAUCAAAGUAUACAAGGAAAAAACUGAUAGAACUGCAAGGAGAAAUAAAAAAAUCCAUUAUUAUAGUUGGAGAUUUUGACAUCCCACUAUCAGAAAUGAACUGAUCCAGAAGGCUGAAAAUCAGGAGACACAUAGUUGAAUGCCACGGCACCUACAAUCAGCUGAACUUAAUUGACACUAAAGAUGACUUCAUCCAACAACAGCAGAAUACACACUUAUUUCAAACUUAUAUGGAACAUUCACCAAUAUAGACCACAUUCAGAGCCAUAAAACAUACUAAAUAUAUAUACAUUUCAUAUAUUUAUUUUAGGGCCACACCUGUGGCAUAUGGAAGUUCCUGGGUUAGGGGUCAAAUUGAAGCUGCAACUGAUGGCUCAUGCCACAGACACAGCUACUACAGAUCCAAGCCACAUCUGCAACGUACACCACAGCUCCUGGCAAUGCCAGAUCCUAACCUACUGAGCAAGGCCAAGGAUCAAACCCACAUCCUCAUGAAUACUAGCCAGGUCCAAUACUGUUGAACCACAAUGGAAACUCCCACCUUAGAUAUUUUAAAAUAAUAUAAAUACUAUGUCUGCUUUCAAUCACAGUGGAGUUCAACCAAGAAUCAAUAACAUAAAGACAGGUGGGAAAUCCCUAAAUACUUGGAGUUUCAACAACACAGUUCUAAAUAACACAUAAGUCAAAGAACUCUGAAGAAAAAUUCUUAAAAUUUUUGAAAUAAAGAAAUAUGAAAAGAAACCAAAAUUUGCGGUAUGCAUUGAGAGCAGUGCUUAGAGGAAAAUUUAUGUCACCGCAUGCAUAUCUUAGAAAAGUAGAAAGGUCUAAAAUCAAUAAUCUCAGAUUUCUCUGGUGGCUCAGUGAGUUAAGGAUCCAGCUGUGCCUGGGGUCACUGCUGUGGCACAGGUUUGAUUCCUGGCUCCAGAAAACUUUCACAUCCCUCACUCAGUCAAAGCCAAAAAAUAUUUUAAAAAGAUAAAAUCAAUAAUCUAAGCUUCCACCUUCAGAAAGCAGGAAGAUGAGGUAUAUAUACAGAAUGGAAUACUACUCAGCCAUAAAAAAGAAUGAGAUAAUGCCAUUUGCAGCAACAUGGAUGGAACUAGAGACUCUCAUACUGUGUGAAAAAUGUCAGAAAGAAAAAGACAAAUACCAUAUGAUAUCACUUAUAACUGGAAUCUAGUGUACAGCACAAAUGAACCUUUCCACAGAAAAGAAAAUCACAGACUUGGAGGCUGCCUGGGGGAAGAGGGAGGGUGUGGGAGGGAUUGGGAGCUUGCAGUUAAUGGCUGCAAACUAUUGCUCUUGGAAUGGGUUUACAAUGAGAUCCUGCUGUGUGGCAUUGAGAACUAUAUCUAGAUACUUACAUUGCAACAAAACAACGGGAGGAAAAAGUAUGUAUGCAUGUAUGUGUAACUUGGUUCCCAUGCUGUACAGUGGAAAAAAAUAAAUAAAAUAAAAUAAAAUAGAACCUAAAAAAGAAAAGAAAUCGGAAAACAAAUCCAAAGUAAAUAGAAAAAAAUAAAUUAUAAAAAUUAGAGCAGAAACCAAUGAUAGUGACAAAGAAGGAAAUCAAUACAGUAAUUUUUUUAAAAAAGCUGGUUCUUUGAAAGCAUUAUUAAAGUAAACAAGCCUCUAAUAAGACUCAGGGAUAAAAGAUAAGAAUUACUAGCAGAAAUGAAAGAAUAUACAUCAUUUCAGAUCAUAUGGAUGGAAAAAUAAUGGAAUAUCAUAAACAACUCUAUGCUCACAACCUAGCUGAAAUGGACCAAUUCCUUGAAAGACACAAUCUAACAAAAUUUAUGCAAGAGAAAAGAGACUAUUUGAAUAUCUAAAUCUAUUAAAUAAGUUGAAUCAAUAAUUAAUAAGGUUUCAAAAUAACACCAGUUACAAUUGGCUUCACAGGUAAAUUUUACCAAAUGUUUAAGGAAAGAACUAUACCAAUUCUCUAUAAUCUCUUCUGGAGUAUAGAGGCAGAGGUAAUACCUCCUAACUCAUUCUAUGAGGCCAGCAUUGUCUUAAUAUCAAAACCAGUAAAAGACAUUAUAAAAAAUUAAAACUGGUGAUAAUCUCUCAUAAACAAAUAUGCAAAAAUUUUCCAUUAAAAUCAAUAAUGUAGUAAAGAAAGUAUGCACAACUAAGUAAGAUUUUUUCCAGAUACACACACCUAGUUCAAGAUUGGAAGAGCAAUUAAAGUACAGGCCUACCUCAUUUUAUUGUGCUUCAUUUUAUUGUGCUUUGAAGACAGUACGUGGAAGCCCUGGGUCAAACAAGUCUACUGGCAUUAUUUUUCCAACAGCAUUUACUACUCACUUUGUGUCUCUGUGUCACAUUUUGGUAAUUUUUAUAAUAUUUCCUACUUUUUCAUUAUUACAUUUGUUAUGGUGGUCUGCUAUCAGCUAUCUUUAAUGUUACUAUUCUAAUUGUUUGAAGUGUCAUGAAUCAUGCUUGUAUAACCUGGCAGACAAUAAAUGGAGUGUGUGUUCUAACUACUCCACCAACAGGACAUUCCCCCAUUUCUCUUCCUCUCUUUAGACCUCCCUAUUCCCUGAGACACAACAAUAUUGAAAUCAGACCAAUUUAAUAACCCACAAUGACCUCUAAGUGUUCAAGUGAAAGAGUCACACGUCUCUGACUUUAAAUAAAAAGCUAGAAAUUAUUAAGCUUUGUGAGGAAGGUACGUCAAUAGCCAAGACAGACUGAAAGCUCGGCUUCUUGUGAAAAAAAAUUAGCCAAGUUGUGAAUGCAAAUGAAAAGCUCUUGAAGACAAUUAAAGAACCAUAACUUUCUUUAAUUCUAUGAAGGCUGAGAGAAGUGAGAAUGCUGCAAAAGAAAAGUUUGGACAGCAGAGGUUGGUUCAUGUGGUUUAAGGAUAGAAGCUAUCUCCAUAACAUGAAAACCCAAAGUGAAACAGCAAGUGCUGAUGUAGAAGCUGCAGCAAGUUAUUUGAAAAUCUAUCUGAGAUAAUGAAGAGAGGUGGCUACACUCAAAAAUAGAUAUUAAAUGUUGAUGAAACACCUUAUGUUGGAAGAAGGUUCCAUCUAGAACUUUCAUAGCUAGAGAGGAGAAGUCAAUGCCUGGCUUUCAAAGCUUCAGAGGAUAGACUGACCCUCUUAUUAGGUGCUAAUGCAACCUGGUGACUU
This 4928-nucleotide long non-coding RNA is filed under the name Sus scrofa (pig). RNAcentral's name for it is "lncRNA (ENSSSCG00000057440.1)". The record is from RNAcentral. Lineage: Eukaryota; Metazoa; Chordata; Mammalia; Artiodactyla; Suidae.